Long non-coding RNA from Platichthys flesus (European flounder), 2981 nucleotides. RefSeq lists it as uncharacterized. The transcript is spliced from 2 exons. The record is from RefSeq and is a predicted model, not a curated record. NCBI's taxonomy places the organism in Eukaryota, Metazoa, Chordata, Actinopteri, Pleuronectiformes, Pleuronectidae.
CGGAACAUUGCAUGCAAAAGACACACAGGUGGAGACGCCGCUGGGAAAUCUGCAAAAAAACAAGAACACUCCUAAAGCGAAUGACUUUCCCUGUGGCUCCCCUGUGGGCUCCUCUGUCAGACUCUUCUCUUCUUUAUUUAAAGUUGCAUAUUGACAUUUAUCGUGAGAGGCCAGUUCAUAUAUAUACUCCUUGCAAGUGUCUGGCAGGACAAUAAUACUUCUGGACAUGUAAACACCAAACAUACUGUCGGCUUUCAUUGUGUGCACAUUACAUGUCCUAUGCAAACCAUGAGGAGGCAGGACAGGCUACCGCUGAAGGUGUGUGAGUGGACGGGACGUCCGUGCAGGGGGGGGGGGGGGCAGGCCAGUCCUCAGCUGAUCUGUUCCUAAAGGCUCCUUCCAGGCAAAUGCCAACUCCUGUCCUUCCACUUUUUCUAUAACUGAGGCUUCAGUGUGACACCGGUGCUCUGGGUGAGGCGGCUGCUGCGUGCACAGCGACGCUCUCGUCCCCGGGAGCUGCUGAGUGAAAGGUCUGACCUCUGGUGAUCGUAGACACUUGUAGUAACAGUGCCUUAUCGCAACAGUUGCACUACGAAAUGCAACUUGGGUCGAGCAGCAGAGACGCCCUUCACAGGUCAGAGCCGCUCAUACGCAGAUCAGUCGUGUGCUUCUCAACCAGGGGGGCCGGAGACACAUCUAAGAUCAUGAGGAGAUUAAAGGGAAAGUUUCAUAUUUUUUGGGGUGGGGGAAACACUCUUUACUUGGUAAAACAUCAACAACAAACUACAAUGUGUUGUUUCACCAACUGGAGCUCUAUCUUGACUCUCUAACAUUUCAUUAUUUGCACAACUCAAACAAACAGUGAGAGGUGCUGGCACUUAAAUGCAGAAUCAUCUCAGCAAAACUGUUAAAACGAUUAUUUCCCCCCCGAUAAUGAAAAACGAAUUAGGUUUCUUCCGGGAAAGUAUUAGAAAGAUAAAAAUCUUAACGAGGAGAAAUUCACAACUGGAAGAUAAAAUUCCACCUGUGACCAGUAGAUAAAGUUGUGUGUAUGUGUGUAUGUGUGUCUGUCUGUGUGUGUGUGUGUGUGUGUGUGUGUGUGUGUGUGUGUGUGUGUGUGUGUGUGUGUGUGUGUGUGUGUGUGUGUGUGUGUGUGUGUGUGUGUGUGUGUGUGUGUGUGUGUGUGUGUGUGUGUGUGUGUGUGUGUGUGUGUGUGUGUGUGUGUGUAAUCCUGCCAGUCCUCACGGUUGAGAAUCACUGAUUUUAGAGAAAUGAAACGCUUGAAUUGUAGAUUGAAGUGUCCGGAAGCUUCUCAGCUGACGAGAGAAGACGAGCCACAUCAGCAGGUUGUUGUUGUUGUUGUUGUUUUUUUACCUAUUUGAAGCUGAAUUGUGGCCAAGUGUUAAUUAUUGUGCCUGUGAGCUCGAGCGCCUCCUCCUGCAUCACAUCAGAGCCGAUCUGAGUCCUCUCUCUCUCUCGCUCUCUCUCUCUCUCUCUCUCUCUCUCUCUCUCUCUCUCUCUCUCUCUCUCUCUCUCUCUCUCUCUCUCUCUCUCCCCCCCCUGCCUUUUCAUACUCGUCUUCACACAUCUGCGCUGUGACAGUGAACUCCUUCCACGGCAGCUGUCUCUGGCAGACGCGCACACAUUCUCUCCUUUCACACAUCUGUGUCUUUCAGACGGAGCGCAGCCUUUGGUGCGAGAAUCGAGAAAUCGUUUUUGUUUCGCUCGAGGGGGGGGGGGGGGGGGGGGAGAAGAAAAUCCACUCAAGGCAAACUGAGAGAAAGUGAAAUUCUUAGUAUUUAAAUGAUUUUAGCAGAUAGCGAGAGUUUGUCUUAUAGUGAUUGUGUUUAUAUGCAAGACAGAGUUGGUGUUUGUGAAAUAUACCUGUGUAGAAAUCCUUAGUGUGUUCAACGGCGUCGUGUGGGACUCUGAAACCUGCCCGGGAGGAUUUAUGAUCAGAGCCCCGGUCACAAGUCCUCCUCAAUCUCCUGAAGAACUAACUCCAGACACACGAGCGAGGAAGAAGCAUUUAGAGAAGAAGGGAUCGUCGGCAGCUGGAGGAAGAUUUUUCAUGGAGCCGUUUGAAGCUCAUGACUGAUAGAUACUUCUAAAAAAAAUGAUUAUAGGCCUGAAAGUACCAUGUCUUUCAUUACUGAGUCAUCUGUGGAUGGUUUUCUUGAUGAAAUGAUUGUUUGCUCUGUAUAAUGGUGAAAUAAUAGUGAAUGUCCAAACCCCCCAAAACACAUUUUAUUAUGAGAAAAUAAGCAAAUACUCACAGUUAGAAAAAAAAAACAACUGGAAGGGCAUUUUGUAAAAAAUAAUUUUGUUGGAAAAUUGCUAAACAAACAAUUGAUCAUUAGAAUACUCGUCGACACAUUUUCUGUUGAUAAUCAACUCACUCUUCCAGCUCUGGAUACUUCCUUUUAUUUAUUUGUGUUGUCUUUUAGCAGGGAUGGGUGACGUGACCACUGGGAGAUGCUGUAACGUCUGUGGCAGUAUUGUUUCUGUGAAGUAAAUGUAAUUACUGAAUAUUUUGUUUCCCUCCAGAAAUCCAAAAGAAAAAACCAAGAGCACUUUGGUAGAUUUGUCAUCGAAGGUGUUUGAGGACUGUUUGUACCGAUGGCUUCGAGUCGCUGUCACCGAGAACAAGAAUGUAUGUGACCGAUAGAAGAAGGGACGUUUGUGUUGAAGCAGAUUUUAAAGGGAAAGUUGAACUUGUUUUAUUUUUAGCUGUGCAAAUUUUGCAGGCUGACGAGCGAAACUGUCGUCCCUGUGGCUACUGUGUUGAAAUGACCUGACCUGGGAUCAGACCUGAACCAAGCUCUGGUCCAUGUGUUGAAUCCUGUAAACAGACACAGAACGAGCUCUUAUUUAUGUUCACUUUUAGUAUCAACACUGUGAUUCGACGUGUUUCAUUUGAUUUACUUCACUUCUUUUUACAUGAUCAAUGUGUCUGGUAAAUAAACAAUAUUGUCUUAUUA